Molecule: non-coding RNA, 20 nt
Filed under: Rattus norvegicus (Norway rat)
Lineage: Eukaryota; Metazoa; Chordata; Mammalia; Rodentia; Muridae
Source: RNAcentral
AUUUCAACAGAGAUGGCAAG